This 66-nucleotide transfer RNA is filed under the name Cryptotympana atrata. RNAcentral's name for it is "tRNA-Leu". Lineage: Eukaryota; Metazoa; Arthropoda; Insecta; Hemiptera; Cicadidae. The record is from RNAcentral.
AUUACUUUGACAGAAUAAUGUAUUAAAUUUAGAAUUUAAAAAAGUAAUUUUAUAUUACAAGUAAUA